AUUGAACGCUGGCGGCAGGCCUAACACAUGCAAGUCGAGCGGAGCGGCGGACGGGGGAGUAAUGCCUAGGAAUCUGCCUGGUAGUGGGGGAUAAAGUCCGGAAAAGGGCGCUAAUAACGCAUAAUAUAAGAUGAGCCUAGGUCGGAUUAGCUAGUGGGUGGGGUAAAGGCCUACCAGGGCGACGAUCCGUAACUGGUCUGAGAGGAGGAUCAGUCACACUGGAACGGAGACACGGUCCAGACUCCUCCGGGAGGCAGCAGUGGGGAAUAUUGGACAAUGGGCGAAAGCCUGAUCCAGCCAGGCCGCGUGUGUGAAGAAGGUCUUCGGAUUGUAAAGCACUUUAAGUUGGGAGGCGUUACUCGCAGAAGAAGCACCGGCUAACUCCGUGCCAGCCGCCGCGGUAAUAC
This 407-nucleotide ribosomal RNA is filed under the name uncultured bacterium. RNAcentral's name for it is "partial 16S ribosomal RNA". It matches the Rfam family "Bacterial small subunit ribosomal RNA", at positions 29 to 526 of the family's 1533-position model. The record is from RNAcentral.